GUGGAUUAGUGGCGAACGGGUGAGUAACACGUGGGCAAUCUGCCCUUCACUCUGGGACAAGCCCUGGAAACGGGGUCUAAUACCGGAUACCACUUCGUCCCGCAUGGGACGGGGUUGAAAGCUCCGGCGGUGAAGGAUGAGCCCGCGGCCUAUCAGCUUGUUGGUGGGGUAAUGGCCUACCAAGGCGACGACGGGUAGCCGGCCUGAGAGGGCGACCGGCCACACUGGGACUGAGACACGGCCCAGACUCCUACGGGAGGCAGCAGUGGGGAAUAUUGCACAAUGGGCGAAAGCCUGAUGCAGCGACGCCGCGUGAGGGAUGACGGCCUUCGGGUUGUAAACCUCUUUCAGCAGGGAAGAAGCGCAAGUGACGGUACCUGCAGAAGAAGCGCCGGCUAACUACGUGCCAGCAGCCGCGGUAAUACGUAGGGCGCAAGCGUUGUCCGGAAUUAUUGGGCGUAAAGAGCUCGUAGGCGGCUUGUCACGUCGGAUGUGAAAGCCCGGGGCUUAACCCCGGGUCUGCAUUCGAUACGGGCUAGCUAGAGUGUGGUAGGGGAGAUCGGAAUUCCUGGUGUAGCGGUGAAAUGCGCAGAUAUCAGGAGGAACACCGGUGGCGAAGGCGGAUCUCUGGGCCAUUACUGACGCUGAGGAGCGAAAGCGUGGGGAGCGAACAGGAUUAGAUACCCUGGUAGUCCACGCC
RNAcentral lists this ribosomal RNA (700 nucleotides) under Actinomycetes bacterium. Its description in RNAcentral is "bacterial SSU rRNA". It matches the Rfam family "Bacterial small subunit ribosomal RNA", at positions 87 to 801 of the family's 1533-position model. The record is from RNAcentral. Lineage: Bacteria; Bacillati; Actinomycetota; Actinomycetes.